Molecule: ribosomal RNA, 254 nt
Filed under: uncultured bacterium
Lineage: Bacteria
Description: partial 16S ribosomal RNA
Rfam family: Bacterial small subunit ribosomal RNA
Source: RNAcentral
UACGGGGGGAGCAAGCGUUGUUCGGAGUUACUGGGCGUAAAGGGUGUGUAGGCGGUUGUUUAAGUUUGGUGUGAAAUCUCCCGGCUCAACUGGGAGGGUGCGCCGAAUACUGAAUGACUUCGAGUGCGGGAGAGGAGAGUGGAAUUCCUGGUGUAGCGGUGAAAUGCGUAGAUAUCAGGAGGAACACCGGUGGUGUAGACGGCUCUCUGGACCGUAACUGACGCUGAGACACGAAAGCGUGGGUAGCAAACAGG